GAUGAAGAACGUAGCGAAAUGCGAUAAUUAAUGUGAAUUGCAGAAUUCAGUGAAUCAUCGAGUCUUUGAACGCACAUUGCGCCCCCUGGUAUUCCGGGGGGCAUGCCUAUUCGAGCGUCGUGGUCACGCUUCAAGCCCGGCUUGAUGAUGGGGAACGCCCUCUCUCGGGGGGGGGCCUCCUUCAAAUGCAACUCCAGACGCCUCGUUGGCUGGGAGCGCAGCAGCAGUGCGCUUCCCCGAGGCGACCGGAUGCCCCUCGUGGGCUCGAGAUUGCUAGACCUCGAAUUAGGCAGGGAUACCCGCUGAACUUAAGCAUAUCAAUAAGCGGAGGA
This 332-nucleotide unclassified non-coding RNA is filed under the name soil metagenome. Its description in RNAcentral is "partial contains 5.8S ribosomal RNA, internal transcribed spacer 2, and large subunit ribosomal RNA". The stretch from base 1 to 120 matches the Rfam family "5.8S ribosomal RNA", at positions 35 to 154 of the family's 154-position model. The record is from RNAcentral.